This is an RNA transcript of Octopus sinensis (East Asian common octopus), 2087 nucleotides long. It is a transcript of the gene named protein-L-isoaspartate(D-aspartate) O-methyltransferase, with no coding region annotated. Lineage: Eukaryota; Metazoa; Mollusca; Cephalopoda; Octopoda; Octopodidae. The transcript is spliced from 10 exons. The record is from RefSeq and is a predicted model, not a curated record.
AACACGCACACACAAAGAAACAAAAGCACAUAAUUAAAAAAAAUUCUGCAUUUAUUUUGGAAUUGGUGACAUCUUCUGUGCAAUGACUUUAUAAUUAACAGAAUAAGUUAGAUUUACGAUGAAAAUAACACACUUAUUUAAUUAAAGAAGAAGUAAAAAAAAAAAUAGCAGAAGAAACGUACAUGUCUCUGAAAUUAAAACAAAAACCACCAAGCAAAAAUUAUUUAUAUACAAGUCAGCGAUAAGUUAAAAGCAGAAAACUUGUUUUACUUUUCUACUACGUUUCGUCAAGUUAAUUCCGUGUUUUUAAUAAGCCCAGUUUGAUGCGCCAAUGACACCACUUCCCUGUCACAUUCACUUUCGUCGAGACGUUGCGAAAACUCUGCUAAGUUGCGGAUUGAAGGUCGCUGUAGCCUUUUUAGUGUUUCCAAAACAUUUAUCCAGCAUGGCUUGGCGAUCUAGUGGGAAUACUAAUUCGCAUCUUGUUGAAAAUCUCUAUCAAAAUGGUAUAAUCAAAUCAGAGAAAGUUCGUGACACAAUGAAAGCAGUUGAUCGUGGCGACUUCUGUCAGCGUAACCCUUAUGCUGAUUCUCCACAGAGUAUUGGAUAUGCUGUUACAAUAAGUGCACCGCAUAUGCAUGCAUAUGCAUUGGAGUUGUUAAAAAAUCACUUAGUUGAUGGAAACCGUGCUCUUGAUGUUGGCUCUGGAAGUGGAUAUCUUACUGCAUGUAUGGCAUUGAUGGUUGGGGAAACUGGUUUGGCUGUUGGAAUCGAUCAUAUAGACAAGUUGGUGCAGUCCUCAAUUGACAAUGUAAAGAAAAAACAGCGACUUGGAUUCUUACUAGAUAAGGGUCAGAUGAAAUUAGUUGUUGGUGAUGGAAGAUUAGGAUACAAACCAGAUGCUCCCUUUGAUGCUAUCCAUGUUGGAGCUGCAGCUGCAGUUUUGCCAGAUUCUUUAGUUGAACAGUUGAAACCUGGUGGACGUAUGGUAAUUCCUGUUGGAGGUCAGGGAGAGAACCAAAUGCUUCAGCAAAUUGAUAAAAAUGAAGAUGGAUCAGUAACAAAGAAAAAUCACAUGGGAGUAAUUUAUGUUCCACUGACAAGCAAAGAAAAGCAAUGGCCAAAAUAAACAUGGAGAAUAUCUGCUUCUCUAUGAUUCAAGGUGGUAUUAAUUGCUCAUAGCUGAAAUUUCUAGCACAACCAGUACGUCAACAGAGAUGAAGCAGAACUGGCAUGUGAAGUGAAUUUAAAUGAACCAUUCUUUCAGUAUAAUACUUAUUAAGAAUUGGUCUGCUGUUAAAUCUGCAGGGUAACUUAUAUAAGGAAGACAGUGAAUGAUAUGCUUGAAAAAUGUACUGUAAAAAGUAUCUGGAAUAUUGCUGUCUUUGCUAAUAGUUCUGACAAUUCACCUACCCUUCAUCUACAUUUGAGCCACUCUCCUUACAGUUGCUGUCCCAACUCGAAGUUGGCGAUAUUUUGCAAGAAGAGCUUUAGCAAUGAAAAACAAGAAUAAUGAAACGUAAACAUUAUUUGGGCCUAUGAUGAAUUAUGAAGUGAAAUACUAAGUACUUCUGGAAGCUAUCUUUUUUUUUUGUAAAUGACUUUUGCACUGCAACUACUAACAGCAGCUCCACUGUUUUACCCUGUUUCUCACCAUUGAUGAGGUUCAGAUAAUAGACAACAUAUGAGACUCUCCACUCCCUUUAUCUGCUAUUUAUAUUGUCAAUAAAUCAAUUUAUUGUUUUUUUAACAAUCGCUUUGUAAAAUUUGUUCAGAAGAAAAGAAAAAGAAACUUCAGAUCAAAAGAUUAAUUUUUUUUAUUUUCAUACAUAUUUUGAGCUCCUUUACUGAAACACUAAUUCUUUAAAUAAAUUAUUCCUAAAUGAAUAGAUGCAAUUAUUUAAGAGCUAUACCAAACAGCUCAUAACAUAAUCAAGAUAGCAGUAAACAGUUUGUUAUAUAACAAAGAUACUAAGAUAUUCGCAAUACAACUAACACAUUGGUGUCCACCAGUUACACCAAAGCAGUUCAUAAUACAACUAAAAUAACUAGGCUAAACAGUUCAUAAUAUAACCAGCUAGAUAAAU